UUACAUUCAAAGGAGAAAUAAUAUGGCUAAAUUGUUCAAGCUUGUUAAUCUUAUCAUUCUCUCUUUUUUCCUAUUUUUUGUUGUAUGCGACGGUAAUAAGCACUUUCUCAUCUUUCCUUAAAGUAUUUUUUUUUCUGGUCAAAUAGUUUAAUGACUAGAAAUUUAACAUUUAAAGUGAAUAAAAAAGAUGAAUAGAGUUCGAACUCCAAACUCUCUACAUAUAUAAUGUAAUAUUUCUGUCAACUGGGCAAAAUUCACUAGAUUAAAUAAACUUUUUGUAACAUUAUUUUAUUGUUGUUUUAUAUCGCAGCAUGGACUUAUUAUUGUGUUACUCAAAGGACUUGUCCAGACAGUAUGUGCGUCUUUCCUGAACUACCGAAGUGCAGGUUCUUUAAAUGUAGAUGCAAAAAAGAAUAUAUGUAAGUUUUAAAAUAAUUUUUCUUUUUUUUUUGUUCCAAUAAAAUAAUUUUUCUUUAUUACUUUAUAGCCUCAAUUAUAUAUUUAUUUAUUUUUAGCCUAUAAUAUUUAUAUCAUGAUUCUUCUUUUGUCAAAAAAUAAUACUAUAAUCCUAAUGGUAUACUAACAUUGGAAUAUUUUUGCAGUAUCAACGAUAUGUAGUUCGGGUUCAAGUUCUUAAAUUGGUGGUUGACACCGUCUAAUAAUGAUUAUCGGAUGAAGAUUUUUAUAUUAAUCUUUUUUAAAAUGUAUUUGAUAAAUAAAUGUUGUAAUCAACAACUUUGAACUAGAGAAGUGUUAACUUCUUUGGAAGAAAUAGUGAAAAAUGUCAUUUUAUUUGUGCUUCUAAGUUCACUGUAUACCUAAAUUAGAAUAAUUUUUUAAUUGAAAAUAUAUUAUAUAUUAAUAUAAAAACGAAAAAAUACAAGAAGUUUAGA
RNAcentral lists this long non-coding RNA (893 nucleotides) under Trifolium pratense (red clover). RNAcentral describes it as "long non-coding RNA (TPRA_LNC000391)". The record is from RNAcentral. Lineage: Eukaryota; Viridiplantae; Streptophyta; Magnoliopsida; Fabales; Fabaceae.